GCCGAAGUGGCGGAAUUGGUAGACGCGCUAGGUUCAGGACUUAGUGGGUGUAUGCCUGUGCGGGUUCGAGUCCCGCCUUCGGCACCA
Molecule: transfer RNA, 87 nt
Filed under: Deltaproteobacteria bacterium
Lineage: Bacteria; Pseudomonadati; Myxococcota; Myxococcia
Also listed under: 2 other names
Description: tRNA-Leu
Rfam family: tRNA
About the family: Transfer RNA (tRNA) molecules are approximately 80 nucleotides in length. Their secondary structure includes four short double-helical elements and three loops (D, anti-codon, and T loops). Further hydrogen bonds mediate the characteristic L-shaped molecular structure. tRNAs have two regions of fundamental functional importance: the anti-codon, which is responsible for specific mRNA codon recognition, and the 3' end, to which the tRNAs corresponding amino acid is attached (by aminoacyl-tRNA synthetases). tRNAs cope with the degeneracy of the genetic code in two manners: having more than one tRNA (with a specific anti-codon) for a particular amino acid; and 'wobble' base-pairing, i.e. permitting non-standard base-pairing at the 3rd anti-codon position.
Source: RNAcentral